This 495-nucleotide ribosomal RNA is filed under the name Cambalomorpha hainanensis. RNAcentral describes it as "Glyphiulus sp. 3 XKJ-2022a partial large subunit ribosomal RNA". It matches the Rfam family "Bacterial large subunit ribosomal RNA", at positions 1860 to 2621 of the family's 2925-position model. Lineage: Eukaryota; Metazoa; Arthropoda; Diplopoda; Spirostreptida; Cambalopsidae. The record is from RNAcentral.
UGCUCACUGAUAUGUAUUAAAGAGCUGCAGUAUUUUAACUGUACAAAGGUAGCAUAAUCAUUAGUUUUUUAAUUGGAGACUAGAAUGAAAGGUUUGACGUAGUUUAGCUGUCUUUAUUGUAAAAUGUGAAUUUAAUUUGUUUGUGAAAAAGCAGAAAUGAAUUAAAGGGACGAGAAGACCCUAUUAAAUUUAAAUAUAUGAUUUAUUAUUGUUCAUAUGAGUUGUAAAAUAAUUUAUAUAUUUUAUUUGGGGCGAAUGAUAUUAUUAAACAAUAUUAAUAUAUAAUAAUUUAAAUAACUUUUAUUUUGAUCUAAUGUGAUUAAGUUGAAGAAAUAAUUACUGUAGGGAUAACAGCGUAAUAUUUUUUAAGAGUUCAUAUUGACAAAAUAUGUUUGCGACCUCGAUGUUGGAUUAAGAAUUCUAUUUGGCGAAAAGGUUAUAUUAGAUGGUCUGUUCGACCAUUAAAUUCUUACAUGAUCUGAGUUCAAACCGGAG